Long non-coding RNA from Cucumis sativus (cucumber), 651 nucleotides. RefSeq lists it as uncharacterized. The transcript has 2 exons. The record is from RefSeq and is a predicted model, not a curated record. Lineage: Eukaryota; Viridiplantae; Streptophyta; Magnoliopsida; Cucurbitales; Cucurbitaceae.
AAACCACACCAAUUAAAUUAAGUCUUAACUCACAUCCAAAUUUGAGAAAAAUAUGAAGUCAGUUGUUCUAAUUUGUUUCAUUUUGAGCUUAGUUGCAGGAAGAUCCACAGCCUCAUUUGGGAAGUGCUACGCCAAGUGCUUUAUAGUGUGUGCUAUCACACCAGGCAUUCCCGUUGGCACUUGUGGGGCAAAAUGCUUGGCUGAUUGCCUUUUCAUUGCUUCUUCCCCUAUGGAUUUGAAUUAUAUGGACACUCAUUACUUUUGUAAACUUGGUUGUGCCACUUCUCGUUGCACCAAAUUCAGCACCAAGAAAGACCCUGCCGAAAAGAAAGUAGAAAGCUGUGUGAACACAUGUGAUCAAACAUGCACAAAAGCUUAAGAAGCAAAAAAGAUGAAAGGAGAAGGAGCUGGGAUUGGCUUCAAUGAAUAAACAAAAAUCAGUGGUUAAAAAAAACAUUGGUUUAAAAGUCAUAUUCCAGAUUUAAGCAUAUAUAUAUAUAUUUAUAGUCCCAAGUUUGUGCAUGUAGUUAAUUAUGGUCAAUAUGAAAAAAAAAAAAAAGGUGUGGCUUUUUCUAUAAUUAUAUGAGAAAAUGGUGUGUUAUGUCAAAGACUUUUACCUAUGCCUAUUCAUAUGAUUAAUUACAUAUUUAA